This 274-nucleotide ribosomal RNA is filed under the name uncultured bacterium. RNAcentral describes it as "partial 16S ribosomal RNA". It matches the Rfam family "Bacterial small subunit ribosomal RNA", at positions 523 to 796 of the family's 1533-position model. The record is from RNAcentral.
AUACGGAGGGGGUUAGCGUUGUGCGGAAUUACUGGGCGUAAAGCGCACGUAGGCGGAUUGGAAAGUUGGGGGUGAAAUCCCAGGGCUCAACCCUGGAACUGCCUCCAAAACUAACAGUCUAGAGUUCGAGAGAGGUGAGUGGAAUUCCAAGUGUAGAGGUGAAAUUCGUAGAUAUUUGGAGGAACACCAGUGGCGAAGGCGGCUCACUGGCUCGAUACUGACGCUGAGGUGCGAAAGCGUGGGGAGCAAACAGGAUUAGAAACCCCAGUAGUCC